CCUACGGGUGGCAGCAGUGAGGAAUAUUGGUCAAUGGACGCGAGCCUGAACCAGCCAAGUAGCGUGAAGGAUGACUGCCCUAUGGGUUGUAAACUUCUUUUAUAAGGGAAUAAAGUGUGCCACGUGUGCCAUUUUGUAUGUACCUUAUGAAUAAGGAUCGGCUAACUCCGUGCCAGCAGCCGCGGUAAUACGGAGGAUCCGAGCGUUAUCCGGAUUUAUUGGGUUUAAAGGGAGCGUAGGUGGAUUGUUAAGUCAGUGGUGAAAGUUUGCGGCUCAACCGUAAAAUUGCAGUUGAAACUGGCAGUCUUGAGUACAGUAGAGGUAGGCGGAAUUCGUGGUGUAGCGGUGAAAUGCUUAGAUAUCACGAAGAACUCCGAUUGCGAAGGCAGCUUACCAGAGCUCCACUGACGCUCAUGCACGAAAGUGUGGGUAUCGAACAGGAUUAGAUACCCUGGUAGUC
Molecule: ribosomal RNA, 460 nt
Filed under: uncultured bacterium
Lineage: Bacteria
Description: partial 16S ribosomal RNA
Rfam family: Bacterial small subunit ribosomal RNA
Source: RNAcentral